This is a long non-coding RNA of Oncorhynchus keta (chum salmon), 720 nucleotides long. RefSeq lists it as uncharacterized. Lineage: Eukaryota; Metazoa; Chordata; Actinopteri; Salmoniformes; Salmonidae. The record is from RefSeq and is a predicted model, not a curated record. The transcript has 3 exons.
CCACCAGGUAACUGGCAGAAUAAAGGAAACACCAACAUAGUGUCUUAAUAAGGUGUUGGGCCACCAGGUAACUGCCAGAAUAAAGGAAACACCAACAUAGUGUCUUAAUAAGGCGUUGGGCCACCAGGUAACUGCCAGAAUAAAGGAAACACCAACAUAGUGUCUUAAUAAGGCGUUGGGCCACCAGGUAACUGCCAGAAUAAAGGAAACACCAACAUAGUGUCUUAAUAAGGCGUUGGGCCACCAGGUAACUGCCAGAAUAAAGGAAACACCAACAUAGUGUCUUAAUAAGGCGUUGGGCCACCAGGUAACUGCCAGAAUAAAGGAAACACCAACAUAGUGUCUUAAUAAGGCGUUGGGCCACCAGGUAACUGCCAGAAUAAAGGAAACACCAACAUAGUGUCUUAAUAAGGGGUUGGGCCACCAGGUAACUGCCAGAAUAAAGGAAACACCAACAUCGUGUCUUAAUAGGGGGUUGGGCCACCAGGUAACUGCCAGAAUAAAGGAAACACCAACAUCGUGUCUUGAUAAGGAAUUGGGCCACUAUUCAAUAACAGUGAAUGUUAAUUGCUUAAUUACAACCUCACCUGCUUUCAAUAAACUUUGUAGCCACCAUUUACUCAGGUGUUUCCUUUAUUUUGCCAGUUACCUGAAUCUCAGUAGUAACAGAGCAGGAAGCAGGAAGCAUGAGUGAUGCUCUGGAACACUCUAUAUCUCAGU